ACCUCUCUGGUAAUAAUCUUUUUCUUUUCAAGAUUGGCACUUUAUUUUCCAGAUCGUUCGCUAAUUGUUACGAUGUUACAUCAUUAGCCGUCUGUCACAGUUUAAAAAUUUGGACGCACGUUAAUGAUAUGAUCAUUUCAAUUUCAUUUACAUUCCAAUGCGUUUCAGAAACCGUUUUGUGUGAUUUAAGGCUGUGAUUGUUGGAUAUGGUUGUGAAAGUUACAGAACAAUAGUCAUGAGUUGGUGGUUUGAAUGAAAACGCUCCUUGUAUUGAUGAAUAACAGGUCACAACAACGAGGAUUAGUUUCCAAAAGCCAGUUUUGGUUUCCAACCAUGGAAGGACUAAUCUCUCCUUCAACCUAAGCCGCACUCGCCUUUCAAUCUCUUGCGCGGUAUGUUCUGUUUUCUUUUUGUACACCACUUGACCAUUUUCUCGUGUUUGUUGACAUCUUAGUACUUUUGUCUUUAUAGGCCAAACAAGAGACAGUAGAGAAAGUAUCUGAGAUAGUCAAGAAGCAACUCUCACUCAAAGACGAUCAACAAGUCGUUGCAGAAACCAAAUUUGUCGAUCUUGGAGCAGAUUCUCUCGACACGGUACGUAAUUCAUCAACCAAACCAUUCUCUUUGUGAAUCAGAACUUGUAGAGUUUGUAUUAACUGAGUGUUUUGCAUGCAGGUUGAGAUUGUGAUGGGUUUAGAGGAAGAGUUUGGGAUCCAAAUGGCAGAAGAGAAAGCACAGAAGAUUGCAACAGUUGAGCAAGCUGCUGAACUCAUUGAAGAGCUCAUGCAAGCCAAGAAGUAACUUCAAGUUUUAGUUUACCCCUCAAAAUAAAAAACAGAGCAAGGCUUUGAUGAGUUUGUUGUUUUCAUUAUGUUUUUUAAUGUGUCAAGUGGGUCUGUCCCCGUCCUAGUGGUUUAGUACCCUUUGGCUCCCAUUGGAGCGUCUGACUCAAGUUCACAGAGGAGAAAGGAUGUUAACAAGGAGAGAAGAAUGGCUGCUAAGCUUAAAGGGAAAAGAAUCGUUGUUUAAUGAGAUUAUUAUUAUUAUUAUUCCUUUUUGAUAGAUACUUUGGGAAGAAAAACAGUGCUGCUUUUUUGGUGGGUUAUAUGUUUCUUAUUUGUGUAUUGAAAAUAACAUUCAAAAUGAGGGCACCUUACAUUAUAUGUAAAGUUUUUAGUUUUUGCUUCCUUGGAGAUGGUACUCAUGGAGAACUUGCUGUCAAUGUAAUUCAGGCACAUAGUUAUGUUUGGUUUUGUUCCUUUUGUCCCUGGUUCUCUGACCGAGAGAGGCACCCAUGAUCUCAGUAAAGCUUAAGAAAACUUACAGAAACUUCUCAGAAAACCAAAAACUUCUUCCCUCUUAUAGUCAUGAAGAAGAAACUUCUAACAGUUUGGGAGACGUGUGGUGUUUUUUUAAUUAGUAUUGGUUGUAACUUGUUAAGUAACAAAACAAGAGUAUUUGUGUGUGCUUUUACUUUUGGCUCAUGGGGUUUGUUGUGUUAGUUAGGAACUUGACUUGUGUCUUGCUAUUAUAGGAUCUGAUUGGUAAGUUGUGGGUACUGUUUGGUUAAACUUUGGCCAAUGGUAAAAGGCUGUAAUAAAUAUAUGAGAAUGAAGGGUAGGUGUGACAAGAAGUACAUACUGUAGCUAACUAUUUAGUGGACACUGUGGUCCACCAUAGCUUUGAUUUCGUUUGGUAAAAUGGUAAAGACCGGUUUGACAGGUCCACUUCAAUUCAAUUAAGAACCGGUUUGACAGGUACAUUGUUAUUAAACUUCGAUAACCGUGUAAAGUCACUGAAUUCAUUUUGGCACGACGUUAUGCUACAUUCGCUCGUGCAUGAGUAUCUAUGGAUCGAAUAUUUGCAUGGGAACGAGGCCCAUGUUUUCUUCUUCGCAAACGACGUCGUUUCUGAGUGCACCAAGCUUAUAAAUGUAGCAAGCUACCAUGGGACAUCACGCUCUUUGUACACUCCGCCAUCUCUCUCCAUCUCUCUCGUGAAUAACGAAAAUGGCGACCACUUUCAGCGCUUCAGUCUCCAUGCAAGCUACCUCUCUGGUAAUAAUCUUUUUCUUUUCAAGAUUGGCACUUUAUUUUCCAGAUCGUUCGCUAAUUGUUACGAUGUUACAUCAUUAGCCGUCUGUCACAGUUUAAAAAUUUGGACGCACGUUAAUGAUAUGAUCAUUUCAAUUUCAUUUACAUUCCAAUGCGUUUCAGAAACCGUUUUGUGUGAUUUAAGGCUGUGAUUGUUGGAUAUGGUUGUGAAAGUUACAGAACAAUAGUCAUGAGUUGGUGGUUUGAAUGAAAACGCUCCUUGUAUUGAUGAAUAACAGGUCACAACAACGAGGAUUAGUUUCCAAAAGCCAGUUUUGGUUUCCAACCAUGGAAGGACUAAUCUCUCCUUCAACCUAAGCCGCACUCGCCUUUCAAUCUCUUGCGCGGUAUGUUCUGU
Molecule: long non-coding RNA, 2451 nt
Filed under: Brassica napus (rape)
Lineage: Eukaryota; Viridiplantae; Streptophyta; Magnoliopsida; Brassicales; Brassicaceae
Description: long non-coding RNA (BNAP_LNC026352)
Source: RNAcentral